GCCCGAAUAGCUCAGUGGUAGAGCGACUGACUGUUAAUCAGUAGGUCGUAGGUCCGAUCCCUACUCCGGGCG
This 72-nucleotide transfer RNA is filed under the name Candidatus Mancarchaeum acidiphilum. Its description in RNAcentral is "Candidatus Micrarchaeota archaeon Mia14 tRNA". It matches the Rfam family "tRNA". Rfam says of the family: Transfer RNA (tRNA) molecules are approximately 80 nucleotides in length. Their secondary structure includes four short double-helical elements and three loops (D, anti-codon, and T loops). The record is from Rfam by way of RNAcentral. Lineage: Archaea; Nanobdellati; Microcaldota.